Orcinus orca (killer whale) is the source of this 847-nucleotide long non-coding RNA. RefSeq lists it as uncharacterized. The record is from RefSeq and is a predicted model, not a curated record. The transcript is spliced from 2 exons. Lineage: Eukaryota; Metazoa; Chordata; Mammalia; Artiodactyla; Delphinidae.
ACCUAUUUUUGUGACUAUUUUAUACACUUUUCUUAAUAAAUAUCUAGAAACGAAACUGUGAGGUCAAAGAACAUCAAUAACGUUAAGGCCCUUACAUACCACAGACCAAACUGCUCUCUCAAAAGGUGGUUCAAUUUAUACUCCCAUGAACGUUCAGCCUCUGCAACUGCCCCCCACCCCUAUAUCUAUUAUUUUAAAAAGUUCCCACUUUAAUUGGUGGUGUCUCAGUGCUGUGUUUUGAAUUCUUUUCAUUGAUUAUGAGGAGAAUAUUUUAUUGGCCAUUUGUAAUUUAUGUAUAGCUUUUUGGUUCAAUUCUUUUGUCCAGUUUUUUAGAGAUGAAAACUAUAGUCUUCCAAACCAAACUCUUUUAUUUUGUUUGUUUGUUUCUCACAGUUUAUAAAAACUUAAUGAUAGAUGCUCAUCAGAUUAGAAGUAGACAUGCUUCAUUAAAAAUCCUUACCCUGGAGCCUUAGUUGGUUUUUUGUAAAUUCACUCACCUUCUUGAUGGUAUGAGCAGCCACGGUGGGCUCUGGGCAGAGACUGUGUGGAUUCAUCCGGAGGACGAGCUGUUCAGGGCAUGAGGAAGAGGAGGGUGUGGGGCUGCUGACCCCUGCCUGAUGCCCUGUGGCCCAGCCUGUGGGCUGGAGGCUGCUCGGGCCCAGUGGAGGCUCUCUGACCUGGAGCCACGGUGUCUGCUUCUCCAAGUCCUACCUCCCCUCCGGACCUCAGCAUUCAUCUGAAAAGCAGCGGUGGUGCUGGCUCUUACAUAGGGGUGUAGUGAGCCUCAAAUGCGGAGGUGUUUAGCAGAUGGUUAUGAAUUAUAAUAAAGGCAAAGUUAUUAUUAUUA